Arvicola amphibius (Eurasian water vole) is the source of this 2337-nucleotide long non-coding RNA. RefSeq lists it as uncharacterized. The transcript has 3 exons. The record is from RefSeq and is a predicted model, not a curated record. Lineage: Eukaryota; Metazoa; Chordata; Mammalia; Rodentia; Cricetidae.
CAUGGAUCCACCGCCAGAGAUAGACGUGCUGGAACUUUGCUGCUUUGUCCUCCAUGGAAGUCACCCUUGAGAACUGUACGACUGAGUGUAAGGAGAAACAAAGAUACACAUCUCAACACUGUGUUUUCUGCAGUUUUAACUUGUUCACUUCAUGGCUGCAUAGUGUUCUGCUGUGGUAACCGGGAAGCUGAGAGAAUACAUCUUCAAGGACGUCUAGAGGGCAGAGAGAGCAAACUGGAAGUGGCUCAAAGACAAACUCCUCCUGCAAGUCUUAAAUGUUCCAUAACCACGCAAAUAAUGGCUACAAGAGAACACCAAGUGAUCACAAUUGCUAGCCUGUAGGAAACAUUUCUCAUUUGAACCACUACAUCAUUGCAAUCCCAAAACACAUCACUUUUUUUUUUAAAAAAUUGAAAAUAGAUUAUUCUCUCAUACAAUAUAUACCCACCACAGUUUCCCCUCCUUCCACUCUUCUCCUGACCACCUCUCUCCCCCAGAUCCACUCUCUCUCUGUUUCCCUUCAGAUGACAGCAGGCCUCCAAGAGACAACAGCCAAAACAGGACAAAACAGGAUACACUAAGACAAUGGAAAUGUCCUCAUAGCAAGGUUGGAAAAGGCAACUCAGUCAGAGGAAAAGAGUCCCAAGAGCAGGCAAAAGAGUCAGAGAUAUACCUGCUCUCACUGUUAGGAGUUCCACAAAACACCAAUCUGACAGCAAUCACAUAUAUGCAGUGAACCUGGUGUAGACCCGUGUAGGCCCCUGUGAGCCCUGUUUAGUUGAUUCAUUGGGUCAGGUUUUCCUGGUAUCCUCCAUCCCCUCUGACUCCUACCCUCUUGUUAGGGUUCCCAGAUCUCUGAGGGGAAGGACUCAAUGCAGCCCUUCAAUGUAGACUCUUUCUCUGGCUGAGGGUCUCUGUACCCACUCCCAUCUGCUGCUGGAGGACACCUUUCUGAUGAUGGCUGGACAGGACACUGAUCUAUGAGUUUAGUAGAAUAUCAUUAGGAAUAAUUUCAUUGAUUUUUUUGGUCAGUCGUGUUUGAUUCUACUCUGGGUCUCUUGGCUAUCCAGUCUCUGGUUCCUGGCCAUGCAGCCAGUGUAAGGUAUGGGAUCCCUCUUGUGGAGUGGGCCUCAAUUUAAACCAGUCAUUGAUUGGUCACUCUAAGUUCUGCAUCACCAUUGCCCAAGCACAUUUUGUAGGCAGGACAGACUGUAGGUCAAAGAUUUCUCUUUCACUAGCCUGCAGAGUACUUUCCCACAUCAAAGAGACUAGAAUGUAGGGGUACCUGCAUUCUUUAUGUUCAAUGAAUGAGUCCUCAUGUCAGUUUUUGGAGAAUAACCCUCUGUUCUAGAAUCAGCCUGAGUUGUUUGAGGGAUCUCCAUGGGAUCCCCUUGGCCAACAACUCAACUGAAUGCAGUACAGUCCCACCAAUGGAGGACUUGCCUGGCUACAAAAGGCAGCCAGUUCAGACUCCAUUAUUAGGAGUCCUCACUAGGGUCAUCCUCAUAAAUUCCAGGAAGUCUCUGUUGCACUAGGUUUUCAUACUACACCCCAAAGGCCUCCCAAUUUGAGCUAUCCUUACACGCUUCCCCUUCAUCCCUUCAUUUCACAGCUGAUCCCUCCUGUUCCUGUCCUCAGUCUGCUGCAAAAGCUGUUCUUUUCAUACAAACACACACACACACACACACACACACACACACACACACACACUAUGAUUACCAUAGCAAUUGCUUUAUCAAGGUAACUGAAGAGCUGAAUGUAUGCAGACAAGUGUGUGAUCCAUAAAUUGUAGAUGCUGCUUCAUACCACUGAGCCUACAGAAAAAGCAAGAAGAGGUAUAGACAUUUUGUAUAUACCAGUUUGUUUAUAAAAGUAUAGCAUUUUUGGCAAAGAGAUGUCCGGACCACUCACAUAAUCCAGUACCAACAGAUACUCAGUGUUUUUUGUGAAAACAGAAUGUGAGCAUUUUCUACUAACCAGCCUAAGUGAAUGACUCUGCCCAGUCCUUGUAAAGGCAAUGGGAUGUUUUUUGCUUAUGUCAUUUAGGCCACUGCUGUAGGAAAUCCUUCUGCCAGUAGCCUUUACGUUACCAGCCCACUUGGGCAUGGUCUCUUAUACUAUAAAUGCUGAUGUAAGCAUGUGCUUGCUCUCUCUUCUGGCUGCUGGAUUUGGUUGCUGUUCUCCAUUUGAGCAGAGGACUGUGAUUUGAGAGUCUACCACUAAAUAACUAACCCUUUAUUAUAUUUUAAAAAAAGCUGUUCUAUUUCCCCUUGGCAGGGCGAUCCAUGCAUCCCCCUUAGAGCCUUCCAUUAAACUAACCUCUCCAGGUCUGUGGAU